This 445-nucleotide ribosomal RNA is filed under the name uncultured bacterium. RNAcentral describes it as "partial 16S ribosomal RNA". It matches the Rfam family "Bacterial small subunit ribosomal RNA", at positions 354 to 796 of the family's 1533-position model. The record is from RNAcentral.
GUGAGGAAUAUUGCGCAAUGGAGGCAACUCUGACGCAGCCAUGUCGCGUGCAGGAAGAAGGCGCUACGCGUUGUAAACUGCUUUUAACCGGGAAGAAACCCCAGGACGUGUCCUGGGUUGACGGUACCGGAGGAAUAAGCACCGGCUAACUUCGUGCCAGCAGCCGCGGUAAUACGAAGGGUGCAAGCGUUAUCCGGAUUCAUUGGGUUUAAAGGGUGCGUAGGCGGAGCGUUAAGUCAGUGGUGAAAUCCUGCAGCUUAACUGUAGACUUGCCAUUGAUACAGGCGCUCUUGAGUGCGCUUGAAGUGGGCGGAAUGUGCCGUGUAGCGGUGAAAUGCUUAGAUAUGGCACAGAACACCAAUUGCGAAGGCAGCUCACUAAGGCGAUACUGACGCUGAGGCACGAAAGCGUGGGGAUCGAACAGGAUUAGAAACCCGAGUAGUCC